This is a long non-coding RNA of Chenopodium quinoa (quinoa), 607 nucleotides long. RefSeq lists it as uncharacterized. The record is from RefSeq and is a predicted model, not a curated record. The transcript is spliced from 5 exons. NCBI's taxonomy places the organism in Eukaryota, Viridiplantae, Streptophyta, Magnoliopsida, Caryophyllales, Amaranthaceae.
AAAUAAUUAAAUAAAAUAAUAAUAAACGGUCAAAAAGACCUCGAAAAGAACAAAACAAAACAAGACCGUUGGAUGUAUGAAGAUUCUAGAUCCUUAAUUACUACCAAAAAAAAUAAAAUUGAAAUGAACGGUGAGAUAUUGAGAUUGGAAAUGGACGGUUAGAUUAGGGGAAGAAGUUUUAACCUAACCUAAACCUAACAACAGCAGUAGCACGCCUCAUUUGAUCAUUUCAUCAUAAUCUAAACGGCUCUCUCUCUCUCUCCUAACUUGCUCCUUUCCAUCUCUCUCUCUCCUAACGCCUCUGAAUCUCCUAACUUUCUCACACCUCUGAAUCUCCCUCUUCAUCAUCUCUCUGCAUCUGAAUCUCCUUAUUGGCGAACGGUAAGAUCUGUCUUAUUCUCUCACGGUAUAAGACCUGUCAUACUAUACUCACGGUAUAACCGUAUAAGAUCUGUCAUACUAUACUCAGUUACUCACGGUAUAACCGUAUAAGAUCUGUCAUACUAUACUCACGGUAUAAGUGUAUAACCGUAUAAGGUAUUUUUUCUUUUUUCUUUUGCUAUGUAUAAUUAAUUAAUUUGUGCUUUUUUUUUUUGAAGUUUUAAUU